Molecule: long non-coding RNA, 163 nt
Organism: Sapajus apella (tufted capuchin)
Lineage: Eukaryota; Metazoa; Chordata; Mammalia; Primates; Cebidae
Exons: 3
Source: RefSeq, a predicted model, not a curated record
UCUUAGCCUCCCAAUCAUUCCUUGUAUAUCUGUAUAUACACUGCUCUAAAGAUACUACUUGAAGCUGGGUAAUUUAUGAAGAAAAGAGGUUUAAUUGACUCAAAGUUCCACAUGGCUGGGGAGGCCUCAGGAAAUGUACAAUCAUGGUGGAAGGUGAAGGGGA